GACGAACGCUGGCGGCGUGCCUAAUACAUGCAAGUUGAGCGAUGAAGAUUGGUGCUUGCACCAAUUUGAAGAGCAGCGAACGGGUGAGUAACGCGUGGGGAAUCUGCCUUUGAGCGGGGGACAACAUUUGGAAACGAAUGCUAAUACCGCAUAACAACUUUAAACAUAAGUUUUAAGUUUGAAAGAUGCAAUUGCAUCACUCAAAGAUGAUCCCGCGUUGUAUUAGCUAGUUGGUGAGGUAAAGGCUCACCAAGGCGAUGAUACAUAGCCGACCUGAGAGGGUGAUCGGCCACAUUGGGACGGAGACACGGCCCAAACUCCUACGGGAGGCAGCAGUAGGGAAUCUUCGGCAAUGGACGAAAGUCUGACCGAGCAACGCCGCGUGAGUGAAGAAGGUUUUCGGAUCGGAAAACUCGGUUGGUAGAGAAGAACGUUGGUGAGAGUGGAAAGCUCAUCAAGUGACGGUAACUACCCAGAAAGGGACGGCUAACUACGUG
This 497-nucleotide ribosomal RNA is filed under the name uncultured bacterium. Its description in RNAcentral is "partial 16S ribosomal RNA". It matches the Rfam family "Bacterial small subunit ribosomal RNA", at positions 28 to 507 of the family's 1533-position model. The record is from RNAcentral.